GUUCCAUCUCCGACAAAUUUUGAAACCAAUCACUUGUCGCGCAAAGUCUCCACCCUCGCCUCUAACAAAUCGCUAGCCCUACUCUUAUUUUUUCUACGGGCUACAUGCAAAAGAUUUUAUUCUUGCCCAAACAGUUGAUCUUUGGUCGCGAGUAGUGCAAGUGUAUUAUAAGUGCAAGAAAUAAGAACAUGUGGGCCGCUUACCGAAGAGAAAUGGAGCUGCAACAGCAGGCCUGUGGAAACAUCGCGGAUAUCAUAAAGGUCCGAUACCCGCAUACUGGGGUAAGUUACAUAUUCAAGAAACAUUGUUUAACGUCUACAUACUUUGUCUUUCAUUUCCUAUUUUAUGUGUUUCAGUAUAUAUGAGUGGGUGACCAGCCCUUAGAAGAAGUGCAAUUAUACCGCGAGGUCGGUAUUAAAUUCGAUCCCUCACCGGUAAGUAUAUACAUUCAUCCGUACAUACUUGCAUACAUACAUACAUUUAUACUAUUGUUGUUGUAUCCUUUUUUCCAGAUUAUAGAUCCAACCAAUAUUAAUAUCAAAGGAUUUAUAAACAUUGAGAACGCGAAGUGGACACGGUGGGAGAGGAAGGGGAAGAGGGUUGAUGUAGAAGACAUUGACAAUCUGUGGACGAGACAGGAUGUCGACGAUGACGACAUAUUCAACCUACGUAAUUUAUAUGGAGAGGAUGAAUGGGCAGAAGAAAAUUGGAACGAUUGGGAUGAUAUCGAAGUUAAUGAUAGCAGUCAAAUGACGAUUGAGGAAGAGUUUCGAAAAAGACAAAGAAACGAGGAAGAUAUAGAAAUGUUGUAUGCACUAAAGAGGGCAAGGAUAGAAGACGAUGAGGAAGACGACGAUGAGAAGGACGAGGACGAGGAU
Molecule: long non-coding RNA, 878 nt
Organism: Ooceraea biroi (clonal raider ant)
Lineage: Eukaryota; Metazoa; Arthropoda; Insecta; Hymenoptera; Formicidae
Source: RefSeq, a predicted model, not a curated record